GGGAAUUUCGUCAAACACGUGACCACAACCAUUAUCUGCAAAAAUACUAUAUUGGCCAAAAAAGUUAGUAUUUAAGAACUUGAUAGUUGAUACUACAAGAUAAUGAGAAAAAAAUCAUGCAUGAGCAGAAUAAUCAAUUAACAGAACAUUUGCAUAUCCAUAAAGUGAGGGAUUCAAUCUUUAACUCUGCCCUCCACUCUAAUCUCUCUAGAGUAAGAACAACACUGGCAAACUUGGACUAAACUCGAUUGUUUUGUCCCCAAAAAUAAGCCAAACUUCAUCUGCACGUUCAACUAUUUCCUCUUCUUCACCUUUU
RNAcentral lists this unclassified non-coding RNA (316 nucleotides) under Hevea brasiliensis (rubber tree). The record is from RNAcentral. Lineage: Eukaryota; Viridiplantae; Streptophyta; Magnoliopsida; Malpighiales; Euphorbiaceae.